GGUGAGGUUCCUGAGCGGCCAAAAGGAGCAGACUGUAAAUCUGUUGUCAAUAAGACUUCGAAGGUUCAAAUCCUUCCCUCACCA
This 84-nucleotide transfer RNA is filed under the name endosymbiont of Euscepes postfasciatus. It matches the Rfam family "tRNA". Rfam says of the family: Transfer RNA (tRNA) molecules are approximately 80 nucleotides in length. Their secondary structure includes four short double-helical elements and three loops (D, anti-codon, and T loops). Lineage: Bacteria; Pseudomonadati; Pseudomonadota; Gammaproteobacteria. The record is from Rfam by way of RNAcentral.